This 30-nucleotide non-coding RNA is filed under the name Rattus norvegicus (Norway rat). The record is from RNAcentral. Lineage: Eukaryota; Metazoa; Chordata; Mammalia; Rodentia; Muridae.
UUCCUUCAGUCUGUGCUCCAAACUUUGCCU